RNAcentral lists this ribosomal RNA (741 nucleotides) under uncultured soil bacterium. RNAcentral describes it as "bacterial SSU rRNA". It matches the Rfam family "Bacterial small subunit ribosomal RNA", at positions 36 to 772 of the family's 1533-position model. The record is from RNAcentral.
CUGGCGGCAUGCCUUACACAUGCAAGUCGAACGGCAGCGCGGGGCAACCUGGCGGCGAGUGGCGAACGGGUGAGUAAUAUAUCGGAACGUACCCAAGAGUGGGGGAUAACGCAGCGAAAGUUGCGCUAAUACCGCAUACGAUCUAAGGAUGAAAGCAGGGGACCGCAAGGCCUUGUGCUCCUGGAGCGGCCGAUAUCUGAUUAGCUAGUUGGUGGGGUAAAGGCCUACCAAGGCGAGGAUCCGUAGCUGGUCUGAGAGGACGACCAGCCACACUGGGACUGAGACACGGCCCAGACUCCUACGGGAGGCAGCAGUGGGGAAUAUUGGACAAUGGGGGCAACCCUGAUCCAGCAAUGCCGCGUGUGUGAAGAAGGCCUGCGGGUUGUAAAGCACUUUCGGCGGGGAGGAAGGGUUUUUGAGAGAAUAUCUUAGGAACUUUGACGUUACCCGCAUAAGAAGCACCGGCUAACUCUGUGCCAGCAGCCGCGGUAAUACAGAGGGUGCGAGCGUUAAUCGGAAUUACUGGGCGUAAAGGGCGCGUAGGUGGUUAAUUAAGUCAGAUGUGAAAUCCCCGGGCUUAACCUGGGAAUGGCAUAUGAAACUGAUUAGCUAGAGUUUGGGAGAGGGAAGUGGAAUUUCAGGUGUAGCGGUGAAAUGCGUAGAUAUCUGAAGGAACACCAGUGGCGAAGGCGACUUCCUGGCCCGAUACUGACACUGAGGCGCGAAAGCGUGGGGAGCAAA